This 185-nucleotide unclassified non-coding RNA is filed under the name Inocybe straminipes. Its description in RNAcentral is "partial internal transcribed spacer 2". The record is from RNAcentral. Lineage: Eukaryota; Fungi; Basidiomycota; Agaricomycetes; Agaricales; Inocybaceae.
AGUUCUCAACCAUCACAAUGUGAUGGAUUGGACUGCUGGGAUUUGCAGGCUUUGAAAAUAAGGUCUGCUUUCCUGAAAUGAAUCAGUGGCGUCUGAGCAUGAGGGGGGACCACUACAGGUUGUAUUUAUGCCUCUUGUAAAAUCUCCCUUGCCCAAGGCUGCUUUCAACGGAUUAUCAAUUGACA